This 742-nucleotide long non-coding RNA is filed under the name Chrysemys picta bellii (western painted turtle). Its description in RNAcentral is "lncRNA (ENSCPBG00000016856.1)". The record is from RNAcentral. Lineage: Eukaryota; Metazoa; Chordata; Testudines; Emydidae.
UUUACAUGGACUUGUUUAGCUUUGGUGACAACGGUUUUUAAAAUUUAUUUUCUGCAGAUUGAAUAUCCAGUUCAACUACUUAUCUGUUGCGUGCCGAUGAGAUGCAACCUUACUUAUUUCUGACUUACCAUAUCUGAAAUGAAGUCUAAAUAAAAAUAGAUUGUGAUUAGGAAAGUUCCCAGGAGACUGGACAACCAGAGCUGGCACUAGAGAAUUCUGCAUUGUUAUUGGCUGUACUUGCGUGUUCAAGGGUGACAAAAGUAUAAACCUAUCUUAUUCAAGACUGACCUUGUCCACUAGAGAAAUACCAUUUACAGAUUCCUGUGGUGUGAUUAGAAUAUUGACCAGCCUGGAUACAAGCUCACAGACAGAUUUGACUGUUGUGAUGUUGUGAGUGUCCUGGCCUCUGCAGUGCCAAAGGGGUUCUGCAAUCAAGUCCUUCUGUCAGUGGGAAACAGUUCUGUUUUGCCAACCCAAAGCAUUCAAACUUCAUGAGUCAGGCCCCCUAAAAUCAUGACAUUAGCUUAAAAUAAUGGUUAAAAAAAUGAACAAUUGCAUUGCUUUUCCCCUGCCCGCUAACUGAUCACUCCAAAUUCACUUGUGACCAUUUCAGGUUCAAAAUUCAACCUUACAUGUACACAGAAUGAAUUCCCAAGUCUGCAGCCUCCCACUGGCUGUUUCAAAAGGGAUUUGCACUUACCCUCUAACUCCUGAGAUGGGGAGCUACAAUACUUUACUUCUU